CACGUAGUUAGCCGUGGCUUUCUGGUCAGGUACCGUCAAGGUCUGAGCAGUUACUCUCAAACUUGUUCUUCCCUGACAACAGAGUUUUACGAUCCGAAAACCUUCAUCACUCACGCGGCGUUGCUCCGUCAGACUUUCGUCCAUUGCGGAAGAUUCCCUACUGCUGCCUCCCGUAGGAGUCUGGGCCGUGUCUCAGUCCCAGUGUGGCCGAUCACCCUCUCAGGUCGGCUACGCAUCGUCGCCUUGGUAGGCCUUUACCCCACCAACUAGCUAAUGCGCCGCGGGCCCAUCCUGUAAGUGACAGCAGAACCGUCUUUCAUCAACACAUCAGGAGAUGUGAAGCUUUAUCCGGUAUUAGCUCACGUUUCCGCAAGUUAUCCCGAUCUUACAGGCAGGUUGCCCACGUGUUACCUCACCCAUCCGCCGCUCGACUCCACAAUUCGUCACUCCGAAGAGAUCUGAAUUACGUUUACCCGCGCUCGACUUGCUAUGUAUUAGGCUACC
Molecule: ribosomal RNA, 504 nt
Filed under: uncultured Oceanobacillus sp.
Lineage: Bacteria; Bacillati; Bacillota; Bacilli; Caryophanales; Bacillaceae
Description: partial 16S ribosomal RNA
Source: RNAcentral